Molecule: ribosomal RNA, 468 nt
Filed under: uncultured bacterium
Lineage: Bacteria
Description: partial 16S ribosomal RNA
Rfam family: Bacterial small subunit ribosomal RNA
Source: RNAcentral
GAUGAACGCUGGCGGCGUGCUUAACACAUGCAAGUCGAACGGAAAGGCCAGUGCUUGCACUGGUACUCGAGUGGCGAACGGGUGAGUAACACGUGGGUGAUCUGCCCUGCACUUCGGGAUAAGCCUGGGAAACUGGGUCUAAUACCGGAUAGGACAAUGGUUUGGAUGCCGUUGUGGAAAGUUUUUUCGGUGUGGGAUGAGCUCGCGGCCUAUCAGCUUGUUGGUGGGGUAAUGGCCUACCAAGGCGUCGACGGGUAGCCGGCCUGAGAGGGUGUACGGCCACAUUGGGACUGAGAUACGGCCCAGACUCCUACGGGAGGCAGCAGUGGGGAAUAUUGCACAAUGGGCGCAAGCCUGAUGCAGUGACGCCGCGUGGGGGAUGACGGCCUUCGGGUUGUAAACUCCUUUCGCUAGGGACGAAGCGUAUUUGUGACGGUACCUGGAGAAGAAGCACCGGCUAACUACGUG